AGCGAACGCUGGCGGCAGGCUUAACACAUGCAAGUCGAACGGGCAUCUUCGGAUGUCAGUGGCAGACGGGUGAGUAACACGUGGGAACGUACCCUUCGGUUCGGAAUAACUCAGGGAAACUUGAGCUAAUACCGGAUACGCCCUUUUGGGGAAAGGUUUACUGCCGAAGGAUCGGCCCGCGUCUGAUUAGCUUGUUGGUGGGGUAACGGCCUACCAAGGCGACGAUCAGUAGCUGGUCUGAGAGGAUGAUCAGCCACACUGGGGCUGAGACACGGCCCAGACUCCUACGGGAGGCAGCAGUGGGGAAUAUUGGACAAUGGGCGCAAGCCUGAUCCAGCCAUGCCGCGUGAGUGAUGAAGGCCUUAGGGUUGUAAAGCUCUUUUGUCCGGGACGAUAAUGACGGUACCGGAAGAAUAAGCCCCGGCUAACUUCGUG
This 435-nucleotide ribosomal RNA is filed under the name uncultured bacterium. Its description in RNAcentral is "partial 16S ribosomal RNA". It matches the Rfam family "Bacterial small subunit ribosomal RNA", at positions 29 to 507 of the family's 1533-position model. The record is from RNAcentral.